Molecule: long non-coding RNA, 2671 nt
Organism: Nannospalax galili (Upper Galilee mountains blind mole rat)
Lineage: Eukaryota; Metazoa; Chordata; Mammalia; Rodentia; Spalacidae
Exons: 2
Source: RefSeq, a predicted model, not a curated record
AUAAGCUGGAGGUCUUGCCCUUUACCACCAUCUGAUGGUAUAUUUCCUGUUUUCAAAUUAUAGAAUCUGAGGCAGGAGGCAUUGGCAGAGUGGUUGUUUCCCUCUGCUGAAGGUGAUGGAUUUCAAACCCUCAGAGAGGGAGCUUCACCUUUCCUCCCAUCGUGGAAUUCUGUAUCAAACCCUUAAUGGUGAUAUUUGCAGCAAUUAUUAUUAUGCCAACAUCAUAAUCACCUGAACAAAGAGACUGACUCAUGAGGUUUUAAGAGUGGGUCCGAACUUGGAGGACACCAAUUCCCUUAGCUAUCUACUAGAGCUGUCCAUCUCCCAGAACUGUUCGGAUGGAUCUCUCUCUUAUCCGCUCAACCUGUGCAGAUAGAGCUGUCUGUGUCUUCACCCUGUGCCCAAGGAACUCUCUCUCUGGAAUUCUGUUUCCCCCCACUGUGUCAUGCCACACCCAUAAUUUAUUCAAAAUGGUUUCGACAGCUUCAUUGAUGAAGUACAAGUUCAAGUUCAGCUCCUCCCUUAAUCCUCACAGAUCAUCUGGCCUCUCAUACCUAGCAUCUCAUUCAUCCAAGGCCAUGUAUCCUUUCCCCAUCUUCACUGUGUCUGGAAGUGAGUGGGUACACUGCUUGCAGCAUUGUGGUAUGUUAACUCUGAAGCAUAUCAACAUUCAUUCAUUAUCUUUUUGGGUAGAGUUCCAAACUGAGGUUGCCAAAGGGGUGCCCCAGUCAUCAGAUCCAAGAACGCAUGGUUUUAGUUGGAUUUUAGCUAAUUAAAAGCUAUUAGUUCAGAUUAUGUCCCUUAGUGAAAGUCAUUCCCACAGACAUUCUAUCUCAUAACCUCUGCAGGCCUUCAUAGUCAACCUCAUACAUGAGUCCUAAAUAACCUUGUAGGUUCUGAUUAUGAGGCAUGAUGAGAACCUUUUGAUGCAAGGAAAGCUGAUUGUAUAUGCCACCCUGAGAAUGUUUGUCUUUUAUAAUGGGAAGAACUCAGUGCCCAGCAUAUUUCUCUAGACCUCAGUUCUAGGUAGUCUCUACUCCUGACCUCUCCCAGAUUUUCUUUACCCCUGGUAUUCCCUUAUCUUUGCACACUGAGUCUAUAUGAGCAGAUAUCUGUCCAUUGAUUCUCUUCAGCUCAGAUCUCACUCCUACUGUGAGACACCAUAAUGUUCUCUCACAUACACAUCAUCAACCCCCUAUAACCGUCAACCUUAUUUUUCAAUGUGUAAAUUGACUGAGGUCUGCUCCAGGGCAUCUUCAUUGCUAAUCAAUAUUUCAUGCCUUUAUUUCACCUCAUUGGUGCAUUCUCUAUGGUGGCUUAUGACGGACACCUUGUUCUGCCUUGCACUGCACAAGAGCCAUGAGUCUGCAGAUUUAAUUAUAAGGCAGAAGAUAAGGACGGCUGGACAUUAUAAAACAAAAUCUUACAGAUAUCUUUGUGCAGAUUUCUAGUGAGCCAUGUUCUCUACCUCUUCUCAUCACUGGGUGUCUGUUCCCAGCUGUCAUCCUGGGGUUGAUGGAGCAACUCAGCCUUUGUCUAGGAGGAGUUCAAAGUUCCCAAAUUGUGGUCAUAGCUAGAUUCCUCUUUGUCUGCACUUUGAGACUAAUUUUUGCAUGGCUGACCUUAAGAACCAGAAUUAGUAACCUGCCCACAGUGAAGAAGUUUUUGAUGCCUGGCAGCCAGAGGGGGUCUCCUCUGAGUAUGAGAAAAUGCUGAGCAGUAGAGGAUAUCUUCACUGAAAUAAGACAAGCAUGGGCAGCAAGCCCAUGAAAGACAAUAUUCUGAAUUUUGCAACAAUUCAGAGAUGUAUCCACCUGUUGAUCCUGGCUUUUGUGAAGCUGACUUGGAAUCCACAGUGAAGGUGACACAUAUCUAUCUGCAUAUACAGUGCUGCAUAUACGGGUGCUUCUACAACUUCCACUUCCUGUUGAAAAAGGAGCGACUCAACCCACUAAAGGCAAUCUGAAAGUUGAUGGGCCAUACACAGCCCUGAGCGCUGCCCUUCAUAAGAGAUGCCUGUGGUUUAUCACCAAGGAGUGAUGUCAUUGGUUUCCCAGUCUUUCUCUAAAGCUAGUGUGCUCCAAAAGGCAGCAGAAGCUUCUGUGAACAACCAUCUGGAAUGUGCAAGCGAGUCUAUGUCUGCAGAACUUUUGGACUGAUGACAAAAAUGGCCUAGAUUUGCAACUUAAACCAAAUGAAGAGCAGUACUUCUCGUGAAUUUCUAUGUUGUCGAUUCCAUGGAUAUUGAUUAAUCCCCACCCUUUGCCAAGUUUAAUAUCUGCCUGAAUACUCUGCUUUUCCAAUUUUUAAUCUAGGUAUCUGCUUGAUUGGACAGGCCGAUUUCUUUAGUACUUCUCUUUAAACUGCCCAAAAUAGCGUCUGAUAAUUAAGAUUUGCCACAUUUCUCUUAUUUAAAUUUCCUUUCUUUCUUUCCUUCCUUUCUUUUUUCUUUUUUGUUUUUUGGGGCUUUUUUGUUUUGUUUUUGUUUGUUUGUUUUGUUUUGAGACAGUCUCAAACAUAGCCCUUACUACAGAGUCUCUAUGCAGCCCUAGCUGGCCUGGAACUCAUUACAUAGACCAGGCUGGCCUUAAAUUAAUAGAGAGCUGCACUUGGGACCUGAAUGACCUGUAUAGUCACAGGCCCAGCUAAUAAAGACUUUCCUUUUUGGCGA